GAUGAACGCUGGCGGCGUGCUUAACACAUGCAAGUCGAACGGAAAGGCCCAAGCUUGCUUGGGUACUCGAGUGGCGAACGGGUGAGUAACACGUGGGUGAUCUGCCCUGCACUUCGGGAUAAGCCUGGGAAACUGGGUCUAAUACCGGAUAGGACGAUGGUUUGGAUGCCAUUGUGGAAAGUUUUUUCGGUGUGGGAUGAGCUCGCGGCCUAUCAGCUUGUUGGUGGGGUAAUGGCCUACCAAGGCGUCGACGGGUAGCCGGCCUGAGAGGGUGUACGGCCACAUUGGGACUGAGAUACGGCCCAGACUCCUACGGGAGGCAGCAGUGGGGAAUAUUGCACAAUGGGCGCAAGCCUGAUGCAGCGACGCCGCGUGGGGGAUGACGGCCUUCGGGCUGUAAACUCCUUUCGCUAGGGACGAAGCGUUUUUGUGACGGUACCUGGAGAAGAAGCACCGGCUAACUACGUG
RNAcentral lists this ribosomal RNA (468 nucleotides) under uncultured bacterium. Its description in RNAcentral is "partial 16S ribosomal RNA". It matches the Rfam family "Bacterial small subunit ribosomal RNA", at positions 28 to 507 of the family's 1533-position model. The record is from RNAcentral.